AUGGGUGUGGCUGCUGCGAUAUGCCGAGACCACACUGGAGAAUAUCUAGGCGCGUCGGCUGUCGUCUUUCGUGGCAUCUCUGAUCCAACAAUUCUUGAGGUAUUAGCAUGUCGAGAAGCAAUGGCAUUGGCAGAAGACCUGAACAUUCAGAGAGUGCGCAUUGCAAAUGAUUGUCAAGGAGUGGUAAAGGACAUCAACACAGGAAGCAGAGGGCCACAUGCAGCGAUUCUACACGAAAUAACAGAACAGAGGAGUCUUUUCCUUUCCUGUAAUUUUGUUUUCAAACGUAGGAAUUUUAAUUUCAAGGCUUGCUAG
This 315-nucleotide ribosomal RNA is filed under the name Triticum aestivum (bread wheat). Its description in RNAcentral is "partial small subunit ribosomal RNA". Lineage: Eukaryota; Viridiplantae; Streptophyta; Magnoliopsida; Poales; Poaceae. The record is from RNAcentral.